RNAcentral lists this ribosomal RNA (518 nucleotides) under uncultured Eubacteriales bacterium. Its description in RNAcentral is "bacterial SSU rRNA". It matches the Rfam family "Bacterial small subunit ribosomal RNA", at positions 1 to 523 of the family's 1533-position model. The record is from RNAcentral. Lineage: Bacteria; Bacillati; Bacillota; Clostridia; Eubacteriales.
CCCUUAGAGUUUGAUCCUGGCUCAGGAUAAACGCUGGCGGCGUGCAUAACACAUGCAAGUCGAACGAUGAAACUUAGAUGAUUUCUUCGGAAUGAACUUAAGCGGAUUAGUGGCGAACGGGUGAGUAACACGUGAGUAACCUGCCUUACACAAGGGGAUAGCCUUUGGAAACGAAGAAUAAUACCCUACAACGUCAAUUUAUCGCAUGAUAGAAUGACCAAAGAUUUAUCGGUGUAAGAUGGACUUGCGUCUGAUUAGCUAGUUGGUGAGAUAAAGGCCCACCAAGGCAACGAUCAGUAGCCGGCUUGAGAGAGUGUACGGCCACAUUGGGACUGAGACACGGCCCAAACUCCUACGGGAGGCAGCAGUGGGGAAUUUUGCACAAUGGGGGAAACCCUGAUGCAGCGACGCCGCGUGAUUUAGAAGGCCUUCGGGUUGUAAAAAUCUUUUUUAUGGGAUGAAAAUGACAGUACCAUAAGAAUAAGGUCCGGCUAAAUACGUGCCAGCCGCCGCGGUAA